Molecule: ribosomal RNA, 2367 nt
Filed under: Triticum aestivum (bread wheat)
Lineage: Eukaryota; Viridiplantae; Streptophyta; Magnoliopsida; Poales; Poaceae
Description: partial small subunit ribosomal RNA
Source: RNAcentral
AUGGAUCGUCCGUGCAAGCAGGCGGCGGAAUCGGGCUCCCGCGUCCCGGACGAGCUGCUGGAGGACAUCUUCGCGCGGAUGCCGGCCAAGUCGGUGCAGCGCUGCCGCUGCCUCUCUCGCGCCUGGGCUGCGGUGCUCUCCUCCAGCGGCUUCGCCGACCGCCACCUCCGCCUCGCCAACCGCCGGGACGGCUCCCGCAGCCUCUUCUUCCUCCCAGAUCCCGGCUCGGGCGACGACACCACGGUGCACGCGUGGUCGCCCCGCCGCCCCCUCGUCGCCGUCCUCCGCGACGAGCGCCUCCGCCGCGUUGCCGCCGUCACCCGCCAGUGCCGCGGCCUCGUCCUUCUUGAGGCCAAAGGCGAUAACCUGAUCUCCGUCUGCAACCCGGCCCGCGGGCACUCCAGCUACACGGUGGACCACUACGUCUACAACCCGUCCACCGGCCAGGUGACGGCGCUCCCGGAGGGCAAGGAGGCGUCCGGCGUCUGGCCGCAGAACCAUGCCAUCCUCGGGCUCGGCUACGACACAGGCAUCCGGAAGCACAAGGUGGUGCGCCUCUACUGCCGCGGCGAGCUCCCUCCGGCGUGCGAGGUCUAUGUGCUCGACUCCACGGGGUACUGGCGGCCGCCGUCCGGUGCCGCCAGGACGAUGCCGCCGGCCUCGGCAACCAAUUACUGCACCGACCAGAGCGUCUUUGCGCAGGGCCACGUGUACUGGGCCGCCCAGCCGCACAAGAAGUACACAGGCAAAAGGGUCAUCAUGUCAUUCUCGAUGGCAGAUGAGGUGUUCGGGAUUUUGCCACCACCAGACAUGGACACGGUGCACUGGCGAAUAACAGAGCUUGGCGGGCACCUCUGCCUCUUCAAAGACAUCACCGUUGUGUGCUCAUACGACGUCUGGAUUCUGCGAGACCCCCUGGAGGGCGCUUGGGACCUACAUUGCCGCAUCAACUUGGACGCGGCGUCUCCAGCAGCAGCACAACUGAGAUGCUCCACGAGCGUCAUCCCACUCGACAUCGUUGAUGAUGGCAACCGCGUGCUGCUCAGGCCAGAGCCUCGCAAUAUCUGUAGAGAAAAUUUGGGUGCCCAUCAACUUGUUGUGUACGACCCUGCGAUCGGAGAUGUCGAGGACCUUCUUGCUGGCGGCAGCAUGGUUUCUCACCACACCAUGGCGCGAAGACCCGCGGCACCGUAUGAGGAAAGCAUCGAGUCUACCGGGCGGCCGCAUGAGGACAUCAUCUUCUCGUCCACCUCCUCACAGGUCCUGGCGCAGGUGCUGCGUCGGCUACCAGCCCGCACCCUUGGGCGGCUCAAGUGUGUCUGUCGGACCUGGUGCGCCAUCAUCGAGUCUGGCCGCUUCAUCAGGCUGCACUACGAGCACACAUGCAAGAGCUCCCUUGCUUGCGUCGUCCUCUCCAUGCCUCAUAGUCGGAGGUUCGCCUCACUGGAUUCUUGCCUGAACGACCUGAAACUGGCAUGCCAAAUGCAGCAGCUACAUCGUAGGGUGGUGAGCUCGAAGCCCUGCCAUGGCCUCCUCCUCAUGGCCCACAACAACUAUGGUGUUCACGUGUGCAACCCUGUCACUGGAGCACAUGUUUUCCAUUGCAGUUUGCCUUUUGAGCAGCCAUCGGAUGCUAGUGCUGCUCACCCCGGUUGCGUUGGCUUGGGGUACGACCUAUUGAGGGAAGAGCAUAUCAUCAUGGUUCUUGCCUAUAAAUCUCGCAACUUUGACACUGGGAGCUACACCAUGGAGUGCAGCAUCCGGAGGCUAACGGAUUGCAUGACAAAGAAGGUGGCUCCUUCGCCACCGAUCCCAGUGACCGUCGAUGUACCACCGGUCUAUGCAGGUGGCAAGAUGUACUGGAUGGGGGAGUCACGAUUCAGUGCGGGCUGCUCAUCAGUUCUUGUGUUUGACAUCUGCAGCAAGGCUUUCAAUGUCCUACCAGCACCACGCACCAUGGGCGACAGUGGUAGGAUGCUCGUGGCGGAGCUCGCCAGGCAGAUUCGUGUCGUGCACAUUUGCCCAAAUACAGAGACGAUGACCAUAUGGCGCAAGCGGGAGCUAGUUACACUUGACGAUGGCCAAGGAUGGACAAUAGAGCACUGGAUACAGCUUGGACAGUGGCCAGAGUUCUCACUGAGAACAGCGGCGAGGCUUGUGAUUCCGUUGGCUGUUGACGACGCCGGCCGGAUCUUACUCGACACUGGAAGGGCGCUGGGGUACUAUGAUCCAAGAAACCAGACAUUGGAGACCGUGUUUCCGACUAGCAGUCUGCAGCACUCCUGCCCACGCUUCUUUUCUGCGGUGUUGUGCGAGGACAGCUUAGUUCGUCCAUAUGGUCGGCAACGUCAGUACUAUGGAACUUAA